RNAcentral lists this ribosomal RNA (497 nucleotides) under uncultured bacterium. Its description in RNAcentral is "partial 16S ribosomal RNA". It matches the Rfam family "Bacterial small subunit ribosomal RNA", at positions 28 to 507 of the family's 1533-position model. The record is from RNAcentral.
GACGAACGCUGGCGGCGUGCCUAAUACAUGCAAGUUGAGCGAUGAAGAUUGGUGCUUGCACCAAUUUGAAGAGCAGCGAACGGGUGAGUAACGCGUGGGGAAUCUGCCUUUGAGCGGGGGACAACAUUUGGAAACGAAUGCUAAUACCGCAUAACAACUUUAAACAUAAGUUUUAAGUUUGAAAGAUGCAAUUGCAUCACUCAAAGAUGAUCCCGCGUUGUAUUAGCUAGUUGGUGAGGUAAAGGCUCACCAAGGCGAUGAUACAUAGCCGACCUGAGAGGGGGAUCGGCCACAUUGGGACUGAGACACGGCCCAAACUCCUACGGGAGGCAGCAGUAGGGAAUCUUCGGCAAUGGACGAAAGUCUGACCGAGCAACGCCGCGUGAGUGAAGAAGGUUUUCGGAUCGGAAAACUCUGUUGGUAGAGAAGAACGUUGGUGAGAGUGGAAAGCUCAUCAAGUGACGGUAACUACACAGAAAGGGACGGCUAACUACGUG